This 799-nucleotide ribosomal RNA is filed under the name uncultured bacterium. RNAcentral describes it as "bacterial SSU rRNA". It matches the Rfam family "Bacterial small subunit ribosomal RNA", at positions 8 to 796 of the family's 1533-position model. The record is from RNAcentral.
AGAGUUUGAUCCUGGCUCAGAUUGAACGCUGGCGGCAGGCCUAACACAUGCAAGUCGAGCGGUAGCACAAGAGAGCUUGCUCUCUGGGUGACGAGCGGCGGAAGGGUGAGUAAUGUCUGGGAAACUGCCUGAUGGAGGGGGAUAACUACUGGAAACGGUAGCUAAUACCGCAUAACGUCUUCGGACCAAAGUGGGGGACCUUCGGGCCUCACGCCAUCAGAUGUGCCCAGAUGGGAUUAGCUAGUAGGUGGGGUAAUGGCCCACCUAGGCGACGAUCCCUAGCUGGUCUGAGAGGAUGACCAGCCACACUGGAACUGAGACACGGUCCAGACUCCUACGGGAGGCAGCAGUGGGGAAUAUUGCACAAUGGGCGCAAGCCUGAUGCAGCCAUGCCGCGUGUGUGAAGAAGGCCUUCGGGUUGUAAAGCACUUUCAGCGAGGAGGAAGGGUAGUGUGUUAAUAGCACAUUGCAUUGACGUUACUCGCAGAAGAAGCACCGGCUAACUCCGUGCCAGCAGCCACGGUAAUACGGAGGGUGCAAGCGUUAAUCGGAAUUACUGGGCGUAAAGCGCACGCAGGCGGUUUGUUAAGUCAGAUGUGAAAUCCCCGCGCUUAACGUGGGAACUGCAUUUGAAACUGGCAAGCUAGAGUCUUGUAGAGGGGGGUAGAAUUCCAGGUGUAGCGGUGAAAUGCGUAGAGAUCUGGAGGAAUACCGGUGGCGAAGGCGGCCCCCUGGACAAAGACUGACGCUCAGGUGCGAAAGCGUGGGGAGCAAACAGGAUUAGAUACCCCGGUAGUCC